This 551-nucleotide long non-coding RNA is filed under the name Rattus norvegicus (Norway rat). Its description in RNAcentral is "long non-coding RNA NONRATT000031". The record is from RNAcentral. Lineage: Eukaryota; Metazoa; Chordata; Mammalia; Rodentia; Muridae.
AAAAAGAAGCUGAGGGAAAGAAUCACUUCCUGGCCUACGAGAAGUGACAACAGUCUGGGUGCUUUGUCAGCAACCAGGGAGAGCUGGGCGUAUGAUUCAGGUGCCAGGGAUCUCCAGAGCCCCGACUUGCAGAGCCAGCUGCCCCUCCAGAAGCUGCUGGAGUAUGGUGAAAGCUCUUUGCCUCAGCAGGCUGUGCUCCACAAGCUUCUCACGCAGUCCCCGAAUUUUGGCACUUCUACAGGCGGAAGCUAUCUAGAGCUGGCCAGUACCUAUGACUGUGCAGAACAACCCGGGGAAGAAAGUGCUAUGAAGCUUGUUUCUUCUUAGUUGAAUGGGUGUGGUUCUGAAGUACUACAGAAUGACAGCCACAAGGAACAGUGAGAGUCUGGUAAAGCAGGAAGGUGAGAAGAAAAUGCCUAGUCUCUGAAAAUGUUUCUCCAAAGAUUUGUAACUACCCAGUAAUGUUAAAGUUUUGAAACAGUGAUAUACUUAAGGACUAUGAUACAUAAAACAUGAUAUUUUAUAGGUAGAACACCAAUAAACUUUUGAAC